AACGAACGCUGGCGGCAGGCCUAACACAUGCAAGUCGAGCGAGCAUUUCGGUGCUAGCGGCGGACGGGUGCGUAACGCGUGGGAACGUGCCCUUUUCUGCGGAAUAGUCCUGGGAAACUGGGGGUAAUACCGCAUACGCCCUUUUGGGGAAAGAUUUAUCGGAGAAGGAUCGGCCCGCGUUGGAUUAGGUAGUUGGUGGGGUAAUGGCCCACCAAGCCGACGAUCCAUAGCUGGUUUGAGAGGAUGAUCAGCCACACUGGGACUGAGACACGGCCCAGACUCCUACGGGAGGCAGCAGUGGGGAAUCUUAGACAAUGGGGGCAACCCUGAUCUAGCCAUGCCGCGUGAGUGAUGAAGGCCUUAGGGUUGUAAAGCUCUUUCAGCUGGGAAGAUAAUGACGGUACCAGCAGAAGAAGCCCCGGCUAACUCCGUG
This 433-nucleotide ribosomal RNA is filed under the name uncultured bacterium. RNAcentral's name for it is "partial 16S ribosomal RNA". It matches the Rfam family "Bacterial small subunit ribosomal RNA", at positions 29 to 507 of the family's 1533-position model. The record is from RNAcentral.